ACGUAGGGGGCAAGCGUUAUCCGGAUUUACUGGGUGUAAAGGGAGCGCAGACGGCUCUGCAAGUCUGAAGUGAAAGCCCGCGGCUUAACCGCGGGACUGCUUUGGAAACUGCAAGGCUUGAGUAUCGGAGGGGCAGGCGGAAUUCCUAGUGUAGCGGUGAAAUGCGUAGAUAUUAGGAAGAACACCGGUGGCGAAGGCGGCCUGCUGGACGAAAACUGACGUUGAGGCUCGAAGGCGUGGGGAGCAAACAG
Molecule: ribosomal RNA, 251 nt
Filed under: uncultured bacterium
Lineage: Bacteria
Description: partial 16S ribosomal RNA
Rfam family: Bacterial small subunit ribosomal RNA
Source: RNAcentral